AACGAACGCUGGCGGCAUGCCUAACACAUGCAAGUCGAACGAGACCUUCGGGUCUAGUGGCGCACGGGUGCGUAACGCGUGGGAAUCUGCCCUUGGGUUCGGAAUAACAGUUGGAAACGACUGCUAAUACCGGAUGAUGACGUAAGUCCAAAGAUUUAUCGCCCAAGGAUGAGCCCGCGUAGGAUUAGCUAGUUGGUGAGGUAAAGGCUCACCAAGGCGACGAUCCUUAGCUGGUCUGAGAGGAUGAUCAGCCACACUGGGACUGAGACACGGCCCAGACUCCUACGGGAGGCAGCAGUGGGGAAUAUUGGACAAUGGGCGAAAGCCUGAUCCAGCAAUGCCGCGUGAGUGAUGAAGGCCUUAGGGCUGUAAAGCUCUUUUACCCGGGAUGAUAAUGACAGUACCGGGAGAAUAAGCUCCGGCUAACUCCGUG
Molecule: ribosomal RNA, 433 nt
Filed under: uncultured bacterium
Lineage: Bacteria
Description: partial 16S ribosomal RNA
Rfam family: Bacterial small subunit ribosomal RNA
Source: RNAcentral